Molecule: ribosomal RNA, 625 nt
Filed under: uncultured bacterium
Lineage: Bacteria
Description: bacterial SSU rRNA
Rfam family: Bacterial small subunit ribosomal RNA
Source: RNAcentral
GUCGAACGGGGUAGUAGCAAUACUGUCUAGUGGCGGACGGGUGAGUAACACGUGGGAAUCUGCCUUUUAGUGGGGGAUAGCAGGCCGAAAGGCCUAUUAAUACCCCAUACGCCGUAAGGUGAAAGCAGCAAUGCGCUAGAAGAUGAGCCCGCGCCCGAUUAGCUAGUUGGUACGGUAACGGCGUACCAAGGCACCGAUCGGUAGCUGGUCUGAGAGGAUGAUCAGCCACAAUGGGACUGAGACACGGCCCAUACUCCUACGGGAGGCAGCAGUGGGGAAUUUUACACAAUGGGGGAAACCCUGAUGUAGCGACACCGCGUGAGCGAAGAAGCCCUUUGGGGUGUAAAGCUCUGUCAGCAGGGACGAAAAAAAUGACGGUACCUGCAGAGGAAGCAUCGGCUAACUACGUGCCAGCAGCCGCGGUAAGACGUAGGAUGCGAGCGUUGUCCGGAUUUAUUGGGCGUAAAGAGUUCGUAGGCGGUUCGUUAAGUCUGGUGUAAAAGACUGGGGCUCAACCCUGGGAUCGCACUGGAUACUGGCGGACUAGAGUGCAGUAGAGACAAGCGGAAUUCCCAGUGUAGCGGUGAAAUGCGUAGAUAUUGGGAAGAACACCGGUGGCGUAAGC